GUUUCGGUGGCCUAGAGGUUAGAGCGCCCGCUUUGGAUGCGGGAGGUUGCGGGUUUGAUCCUCGGCCGAGUCA
Molecule: non-coding RNA, 73 nt
Organism: Potamilus streckersoni
Lineage: Eukaryota; Metazoa; Mollusca; Bivalvia; Unionida; Unionidae
Source: the annotation of a GenBank genome assembly